CUCCUGUAUUUAUCAGUGCAUAAUGUAAUAAUCUACAGGCUGAGCCUGUGUCACAGGGUUAAUGUGUAUUUGUUUGUUUAUAUAUAUAUGUAUAUAUUAUAUGUUUAUACAGAGUAUUGUAUCUGAGCAAAGAAGAACAGUGUAUUGCGAAAAAUGGCGGACGUACUGAGCAAGUUCUGUAAAUUAAAGCUUUUGUUUUGCUUUUUAUUUAUUUUCCUUAUUGCACAAUGUAUAUAAUGUAUUGAAUCACGAAUCUAUAGUUUGUUUUGUUUAUAUGAUCUUUUUGGAUAUUCCGUUAGACUUUUUUUUUUUUUGCAAUCUUGUUGUACAUGUCGCCAUCUAGCGGAGACCAGCAUCGCUGCCGUUUGUGUUUCGGCUUCUGUGACGGGAAAACCCGGGCGCGUGCCGAAGUGAGCAGGUGAUGUUUAGGAACAUUUAGCUUCGAGUUUAAACUCAUUUUAUUCAUAAUAAACUGCAGUAACAAAUCUUUACUGUGUAACUACAAAAGUUCAGUUUAUGGUGUAGCCUAAAUGACGUCAUCACUUCCAGAAAUGUCGAGGUUAAUACAUGAAUUAGAGUUUUAAUUCUGUUUACUGGACUGGACAUGGCUUGUUUACUGUGCUAAUGGGCGUGCUCGUCCUGGUCUAAUCUCAAGCACGCGCGCGGUGGUGUGUCGGGAGCGCGCAAGGCGCGCGCACAUACAAUCUGAAAACACCGCAUCGUGCUCUGAUCACCUUCAUCACUGCAGUGCCCAGGUCUCAGUGGAUCAGGAAUUAAAGCUGAGCUGCAGUUUUUACUCGGUGACGUCACUGAAGCUGAAGCUCUGAGCACGAGGAAGACGAGGAAGACGAGGAAGAUGUUUUUACACUGAAACACACCAGUUUAUUUACCUGUUUAUCAGAGCGUCACGCACUGAAUUCCCCUCAGUAAAAGCUGUUGGUGUAAAGCUCAGUGAGGAUGAUGAAGGGGUGUCUGCAGUUCCUCAGAGAACCAGCCAAGAACCUGAAGAUCUGCCUGAAGGUGAGACGUCUAUAAUAUCAACACAACAUACAGCAUCACCUCACAGCUAUUCACGACCGGGACCCUGCUUCACGCCCGUAAUAAAUAAAUAAAUAAAUAAAUACAGAAAUAAAAUUAAACAUAGUUAUCAUAUUUAGCAAUGAAAUAGAAUUUGUGAUAAUUAUUAAUGUAAUAUAAAAAUAUCAUCAGUUCAAGUCUGAGACGUCCACACGUUCAUGCGUCCUAAUUAAGAGACUCUUUAUAUCUGUCAAUGUCUAAUUUAAAGAUUUUAUAUAUAUAUAUAUAUAUAU
This is a long non-coding RNA of Ictalurus punctatus (channel catfish), 1310 nucleotides long. Lineage: Eukaryota; Metazoa; Chordata; Actinopteri; Siluriformes; Ictaluridae. The record is from Ensembl.